CCUACGGGGGGCAGCAGUGGGGAAUAUUGCACAAUGGGGGAAACCCUGAUGCAGCGACGCCGCGUGAAGGAAGAAGUAUUUCGGUAUGUAAACUUCUAUCAGCAGGGAAGAAAAUGACGGUACCUGACUAAGAAGCCCCGGCUAACUACGUGCCAGCAGCCGCGGUAAUACGUAGGGGGCAAGCGUUAUCCGGAUUUACUGGGUGUAAAGGGAGCGUAGGCGGUUUAGCAAGUCAGAAGUGAAAGCCCGGGGCUCAACUCCGGGACUGCUUUUGAAACUGUACGGCUGGAGUGCAGGAGAGGUAAGUGGAAUUCCUAGUGUAGCGGUGAAAUGCGUAGAUAUUAGGAGGAACACCAGUGGCGAAGGCGGCUUACUGGACUGUAACUGACGUUGAGGCUCGAAAGCGUGGGGAGCAAACAGGAUUAGAUACCCCAGUAGUC
Molecule: ribosomal RNA, 440 nt
Filed under: uncultured bacterium
Lineage: Bacteria
Description: partial 16S ribosomal RNA
Rfam family: Bacterial small subunit ribosomal RNA
Source: RNAcentral